RNAcentral lists this ribosomal RNA (507 nucleotides) under uncultured beta proteobacterium. RNAcentral describes it as "bacterial SSU rRNA". It matches the Rfam family "Bacterial small subunit ribosomal RNA", at positions 9 to 519 of the family's 1533-position model. Lineage: Bacteria; Pseudomonadati; Pseudomonadota; Betaproteobacteria. The record is from RNAcentral.
GAGUUUGAUCGUGGCUCAGAUUGAACGCUGGCGGCAUGCCUUACACAUGCAAGUCGAACGGUAACAGGUUAAGCUGACGAGUGGCGAACGGGUGAGUAAUAUAUCGGAACGUGCCCAGUCGUGGGGGAUAACUGCUCGAAAGAGCAGCUAAUACCGCAUACGACCUGAGGGUGAAAGCGGGGGAUCGCAAGACCUCGCGCGAUUGGAGCGGCCGAUAUCAGAUUAGGUAGUUGGUGGGGCAAAGGCCCACCAAGCCAACGAUCUGUAGCUGGUCUGAGAGGACGACCAGCCACACUGGAACUGAGACACGGUCCAGACUCCUACGGGAGGCAGCAGUGGGGAAUUGUUCACAAUGGGCGCAAGCCUGAUGACGCAACGCCGCGUGGGGGAUGAAGGUCUUCGGAUUGUAAACCCCUGUCGAACGGGACGAAGACUCGGGAGCUAAUCAUCUCGAGAGUGACGGUACCGUUAAAGGAAGCCACGGCUAACUCUGUGCCAGCAGCCGCU